This 240-nucleotide ribosomal RNA is filed under the name uncultured bacterium. RNAcentral's name for it is "partial 16S ribosomal RNA". It matches the Rfam family "Bacterial small subunit ribosomal RNA", at positions 524 to 763 of the family's 1533-position model. The record is from RNAcentral.
UACGGAGGGUGCGAGCGUUGUCCGGAAUUAUUGGGCGUAAAGAGCUCGUAGGCGGUCUGUCGCGUCUGCUGUGAAAACUCAGGGCUUAACCCUGAGCUUGCAGUGGGUACGGGCAGACUAGAGUGCGGUAGGGGAAACUGGAAUUCCUGGUGUAGCGGUGAAAUGCGCAGAUAUCAGGAGGAACACCGGUGGCGAAGGCAGGUCUCCGGCAGUUACUGACUGCUGAGGAGCGAAAGCAUG